RNAcentral lists this ribosomal RNA (542 nucleotides) under Bacillus sp. (in: firmicutes). RNAcentral's name for it is "bacterial SSU rRNA". It matches the Rfam family "Bacterial small subunit ribosomal RNA", at positions 1 to 525 of the family's 1533-position model. Lineage: Bacteria; Bacillati; Bacillota; Bacilli; Caryophanales; Bacillaceae. The record is from RNAcentral.
UUGGAGAGUUUGAUCCUGGCUCAGGACGAACGCUGGCGGCGUGCCUAAUACAUGCAAGUCGAGCGGACAGAUGGGAGCUUGCUCCCUGAUGUUAGCGGCGGACGGGUGAGUAACACGUGGGUAACCUGCCUGUAAGACUGGGAUAACUCCGGGAAACCGGGGCUAAUACCGGAUGCUUGAUUGAACCGCAUGGUUCAAUUAUAAAAGGUGGCUUUUAGCUACCACUUACAGAUGGACCCGCGGCGCAUUAGCUAGUUGGUGAGGUAACGGCUCACCAAGGCAACGAUGCGUAGCCGACCUGAGAGGGUGAUCGGCCACACUGGGACUGAGACACGGCCCAGACUCCUACGGGAGGCAGCAGUAGGGAAUCUUCCGCAAUGGACGAAAGUCUGACGGAGCAACGCCGCGUGAGUGAUGAAGGUUUUCGGAUCGUAAAACUCUGUUGUUAGGGAAGAACAAGUACCGUUCGAAUAGGGCGGUACCUUGACGGUACCUAACCAGAAAGCCACGGGCUACUCUACGUGCCAGCAGCCGCGGUAAUA